RNAcentral lists this unclassified non-coding RNA (22 nucleotides) under Chlamydomonas reinhardtii. RNAcentral describes it as "small RNA Cre_0535". Lineage: Eukaryota; Viridiplantae; Chlorophyta; Chlorophyceae; Chlamydomonadales; Chlamydomonadaceae. The record is from RNAcentral.
AGGAGGCUGCUAUCGGAGCUGG